ACUCAGCUGGCUCAGUUGGUAGAGCACGUGACUUUUAACUUCAGGAUCGUGAAUUCAAGCUCCAUGUUGGGCA
Molecule: transfer RNA, 73 nt
Filed under: Canis lupus familiaris (dog)
Lineage: Eukaryota; Metazoa; Chordata; Mammalia; Carnivora; Canidae
Also listed under: 1 other name
Rfam family: tRNA
About the family: Transfer RNA (tRNA) molecules are approximately 80 nucleotides in length.
Source: Rfam by way of RNAcentral